Molecule: ribosomal RNA, 609 nt
Filed under: Providencia rettgeri
Lineage: Bacteria; Pseudomonadati; Pseudomonadota; Gammaproteobacteria; Enterobacterales; Morganellaceae
Also listed under: 1 other name
Description: partial 23S ribosomal RNA
Rfam family: Bacterial large subunit ribosomal RNA
Source: RNAcentral
GACGAGUCACUACGGUGAUGAAGUAGCUCAUGCCCCGCUUCCAGGAAAAGCCUCUAAGCUCUAGAUUAUCAUUAAUCGUACCCCAAACCGACACAGGUGGUCAGGUAGAGAAUACUCAGGCGCUUGAGAGAACUCGGGUGAAGGAACUAGGCAAAAUGGUGCCGUAACUUCGGGAGAAGGCACGCUGGCAUUAGGUGAAGUGAUUUACUCAUGGAGCUGAAGCCAGUCGCAGAUACCAGCUGGCUGCAACUGUUUAUUAAAAACACAGCACUGUGCAAACACGAAAGUGGACGUAUACGGUGUGACGCCUGCCCGGUGCUGGAAGGUUAAUUGAUGGGGUUAUCCGUAAGGAGAAGCUCUUGAUCGAAGCCCCAGUAAACGGCGGCCGUAACUAUAACGGUCCUAAGGUAGCGAAAUUCCUUGUCGGGUAAGUUCCGACCUGCACGAAUGGCGUAAUGAUGGCCAGGCUGUCUCCACCCGAGACUCAGUGAAAUUGAACUCGCUGUGAAGAUGCAGUGUACCCGCGGCAAGACGGAAAGACCCCGUGAACCUUUACUAUAGCUUGACACUGAACAUUGAGCCUUGAUGUGUAGGAUAGGUGGGAGGCUU